ACGGAGGGGGCAAGCGUUGUUCGGAAUCAUUGGGCGUAAAGAGUAUGUAGGCGGCUAUUUAAGUCAGACGUGUAAGCCCACGGCUCAACCGUGGAAUUGCGUUUGAAACUAUUUAGCUUGAGUGCAGGAGAGGAAGGCGGAAUUCCCAGUGUAGCGGUGAAAUGCAUUGAUAUUGGGAAGAACACCGGUGGCGAAGGCGGCCUUCUGGUCUGACACUGACGCUGAGAUACGAAAGCCAGGGGAGCGAACGGG
RNAcentral lists this ribosomal RNA (252 nucleotides) under uncultured bacterium. Its description in RNAcentral is "partial 16S ribosomal RNA". It matches the Rfam family "Bacterial small subunit ribosomal RNA", at positions 525 to 776 of the family's 1533-position model. The record is from RNAcentral.